UCUCCGGUGGCCUAGUGGUUAGAGCGUCCGCUUUUGAUGCGGGAAGUCGCGGGUUUGAACCUCGGUCAAGUGAU
This is a non-coding RNA of Potamilus streckersoni, 74 nucleotides long. NCBI's taxonomy places the organism in Eukaryota, Metazoa, Mollusca, Bivalvia, Unionida, Unionidae. The record is from the annotation of a GenBank genome assembly.